Molecule: long non-coding RNA, 1229 nt
Organism: Toxotes jaculatrix (banded archerfish)
Lineage: Eukaryota; Metazoa; Chordata; Actinopteri; Toxotidae
Exons: 4
Source: RefSeq, a predicted model, not a curated record
UCUAAAUAACUUUCUUAUACUUUAUUUUCUCUUUGAUAUUACAGCCCUCGAGAAGCGGUGUCCAGCUGUGUGUGAAUAUGAAGCUGCAUCACACUGCCUGCAGUCUCCUGCCCAGCUUCACAGUGAAGACACAAAUCUACGGUAUCUCAGCGCACGAUCGCUGCAGAGAGGAUGGCCAUCAGUCAAAGACGUCUCCUUCCUGUGAGGUUAUGAGGCGAGACUCCCCAUGAUGCAAGGUGAAGAAGGAUUCUGGUUUCAACCCCUUCUGUUCCAGGGCCUCUCUGAGACGAAGCGGUGGCUCCAUGUAGUACUGGACAAAGGAGGGACCAGAGGGAAAGAAAAAAAAAAGGACCUGGGCAGGUACGCUCCGAUGGGGAUCGCUGCGAGGUCAAAUGGUCCAAAGCGUCGUCCUAUCUCCUGGAAGGAAGAGCAGUAGCCAGUAUCACCAGCGAAGAAGAAUCGAUGGUCCGGACCCAAAACAGACCAGCUGCCCCAUAAAGACUGAAAGACAGAGAGAGAGAAAGGACAUGUUUUUAUGGACUGAACCUGUUCUGAAUUCAAACAAUUUAAAACUGUUUAAAUUACAAAAAAAGACUUCGAACUGUACAAUCAAUGUAAUUGUCCAAAUAAGCACCAUUAUUAAAGCUGCAGUCUACUCUGUGAUUACAAAUCAUUCUAAUCAAUAAUUACCUUGUUAUCAUCCAGAGCUGUGCGUUUGCUCCAGUGCUGCGAUGGUGUACAGACAAAUGUCACGUCGUCAUGGCCCGGGACACAGUUCUCCUCCCACCAGUCCAGCUCCAUCACAUUCUCACAGCCCAUUUUCACCAACCAGUCCAUCAAACCCAGGGGCACGAACCUACAAACCACACGCUGGUCUUACUUAGUCUUACUAUAAAUGUGGCAGAGUGUGGAUGCCAAUCAAAACAGCAACUACCCAUAAAUUCACCACACGUACCAGCGUAGCUCCCCUCCAAAGCGUGUGUUCAGGCUGGCCACAGAUCCAGAAUCCAGAUGGUCAUAAUGAGAAUGACUGAUGACGACAGCAUCGAUCCUGGGCAGCUGUUGGCAGGAGAAGACAAGAGAAAACAAAGUGCAGGGAGGCCCUCUGUACCUUUUCGGCCCCAUGAACUGGAAAGGCGAGGCCCUCUGGCUGAAGACUGGGUCUGUCAGAAUAUUCAGUCCGUCCAUUUCCACCAGAACUGUGGCGUGACCCAGCCAGGUGACUCUCA